Doryrhamphus excisus (bluestripe pipefish) is the source of this 2130-nucleotide non-coding RNA. NCBI's taxonomy places the organism in Eukaryota, Metazoa, Chordata, Actinopteri, Syngnathiformes, Syngnathidae. The record is from RefSeq and is a predicted model, not a curated record.
CAAGCUUUGUCGUUUUCUCUCGGUGAAAAGCAGGCUAAUCUCACGGCAGAAACGAAACGAAAAAACCUCAUAAAGACGCCGAAAGUUACUCUAAACGCUUGUUUCUUGGGAAAUUGUCGUCUUUGGUCGCGGGGGUGCUGGAGCCUAUCCCAGCUGUCUUCAGGCAAGAGGCGGGGUCCACCCCGGACUGUGACAGGCCCCGUCGAAGGCUGCUGGUCAUGUCCAAAGCCACGCUGAGAAUACCGAGAGGACGACACCUCAGCCCGGACUGGGGGGGGGGGGCUCAUUAGUUAUGCAGCCUCAUUGUUGCCGGUGAAGGGACAAUGAUGCAGUGGCUUUCACCGGCCGACGGCAGCUUCCUGUCUUCUGGACCAAUGGCGGCGCGGGAGGUGUGGUGGCUCACUUGAUUCAUAUUCAUUUAAAAGCCGUGCCUCCGAGACCAGCUGUGGCCUGAGCUGGACACGCUGGUUCCUGGUCAGCUGACUGAAAGACCUUUGACCCCACUCGGCUUUUAUUAAGAUGAGCACAAAAAAAAAGCAAACACGUCAUCAUUUAAGUCAUUUCUACAGCUUCGAACUCAACACUUGCUUAAAAUGGAGACGACCGUGUGUUUGCUGUUGCUAUGUUUCGCCCUUUUUCAUAUUUUUAAUACGCCAGUACACCCAGCCUAGGGGUGUUCAAAGUGCAGCCCGGGGACCAUUUGCUGUCCGUAGCUGUUUUUUUAUUGGCUCGCAGCACUGAAAAAACAGUAUUUGGUGUGACCACCAUUUGUCUCAAAUAUCGUUGAUCGCAUUUAGGUAAUUGGUUCCAGAACUGUGAUAAGUUCAUUUCAGCAAAGUAGAAAUAUAAUAUUUUCGUAGUUUUUAAAGGGGACCUAUUAUGCUUUUACUGACUGAUAAAUGUAGUUGGAAUGUUGUAUUCUCGUGUUAAACGAUGCCAAAGUUUCACAUAAUGAGUUUUGUGCAGCUUCUACCUGGGCAUGCCCUUAUAACAAUAUUUUAUAUGUAUUUUAAGGAAGUUUAAAUGGAUAUCAAUUUCGGAAUAUAGAAAAAAAUAUAUUGUUAGAAAUCUCCUAAUUUUGCAUGUUUAUGUUGUUGUCCCUGGCUGCACGGCGGUCAAGUGGUUAGCACACAGGCCUCACAGCUAGGAGACCCGAGUUCAAUUCCACCCUCGGACAUCUCUAUGUGGAGUUUGCAUGUUCUCGCCGUGCAUGCGUGGGUUUUCGCAUCCGGGUACUCCAGUUUCCUCCCACAUUCCAAAAACAUGUCUAUUAUAGAAAACAACAUGUCUAUGUCUAUUAGUUUAUUUAGCCAUGUUUAUGCUUGCAAAAAAACACUAAACUCAUCACACAGUAACUUAACACUCCAAAGGUGUACCUAAAAAUAUACAAUGAAGUACCAAUAUGAGUUUUGAAGUUUCCCAUUCUGCAUUGUGUCUGAGCAAAGCGGUUCAUUGGAGGACAUGCGGCAUAGAAAGUGGUUAGUGCGCAAGUUCAAUUCCACCCUCGGCCAUCUCCAUGUGGAGUUUACAUGUUCUCCCCGUGCAUGCGUGGGUUUUCUCCGAGGACUCCGGUUUCCUCCCACAUUCCAAAAACAUGCUAGGUUAAUUAGCCACUCCAAAUUGUCCAUAGGUAUGAAUGUGAGUGUGAAUGGUUGUUUGUCUAUAUGUGCCCUGUGAUUGGCUGGCCACCAGUCCAGGGGUGUCCACACCUGGGAGGCUGAAUAGGCUAAAUUAACAUAGGAAAGCAGAGACCCUAACAAGGAAGUUACAGGUAAGAAAGUUCACCAAGCUCCCACUCUAAUUCCAUAUCACCGAAUCUGUUAAAUCCAUAAUAAUCCAUAACCUACCGGUUUUUCACUCAUACUGGAGUGAUUCUUUAUGGUUGCAUCAUUCCCAAAGAUUAGAUCACCCUCAAUUGGAGCCAUGGGUGUUAGCCAACUAACUGACUUUACUUAUACGUGUAUACAAGUAAUAUACAGUACAAUACUAAAGCUAAUGCUAAUAUAAUAUACCAGUUUCAUUUCACUGUGACUCCCUUUUAUUCAAAAUGGAUUUCUAAAAUCUAAAUCUUCAAUUUAUUUUAUUGUUUACUAAUUAUUCAGCGAAUUAUACAGGUUUUAAUGGCAUUAU